CACACUCAAUAACGGUUAUGGAGACUCUGUAUAUUUCAGUGUUUAUGGCCAUUUUAUCAUGUGUCCAGUCAGAUAUUGUCUUGAUGCAAAAAAGUAGUGAAGUCAAAAAUCCUGGAGAGGCUCUGCAACUGACCUGCCAAGGUUCAGGACAGGAUAGUGAUGUGUAUACCGUCACUGGUUAUGGCUUGAAGUGGAUUAGACAAGAGCCAGGAAAAGGACUUGAAUGGCUGGCUUACAUUGACCCUGGCAGCAGCACUAUAGAGUACGCCAGCAGAAUUAAAGGAAGGUUUACAAUCUCCAGAGACAACUCUAAACAGGUUGGGUAUAUGGACAUGAGCAGCCUCAAAAUUGAAGACACUGCCAAAUAUUAUUGUGUUACAAGCACAGUGAAGAACUUCUUGUUAUUGCUUAUAUAAAAUCCUGAAUAAAAGCCUUUUAGCAAAUGUUAGAAACAAUUUCCUUCCUAUCCUUCUCACAACUUGCCUAUAAAGUGUUUUAUUUUUAUUUUUAGUGUUGUGCUACAGUUAUAAAAUGUAAUUAAAAUACUUUUUCACCCAAAAUACACAUUAAAAUUCUGUCAUGCAUGAUAUCUUCAAGGGAAACAAAGAGGGCAAGUUGAAUGUUUUGUCAGACUAUUGUUCAUAUGAAAGAUGAAAGCUCCUCAGUAGCUAAGCCUGCAUUUCCCUUCAUAACCACAAAGCCAC
This is a non-coding RNA of Polypterus senegalus (gray bichir), 704 nucleotides long. The record is from the annotation of a RefSeq genome assembly. Lineage: Eukaryota; Metazoa; Chordata; Cladistia; Polypteriformes; Polypteridae.